AGUGAACGCUGGCGGCAGGCCUAAUACAUGCAAGUCGAACGGCAGCACAGCAGAGCUUGCUCUGUGGGUGGCGAGUGGCGGACGGGUGAGGAAUACAUGGGAAUCUGCCCAGUCGUGGGGGAUAACGUAGGGAAACUUACGCUAAUACCGCAUGCGCCCUUCGGGGGAAAGCCGGGGACCUUCGGGCCUGGCGCGAUUGGAUGAGCCCAUGUCGGAUUAGCUAGUUGGCGGGGUAAAGGCCCACCAAGGCGACGAUCCGUAGCUGGUCUGAGAGGAUGAUCAGCCACACUGGAACUGAGACACGGUCCAGACUCCUACGGGAGGCAGCAGUAGGGAAUAUUGGACAAUGGGCGCAAGCCUGAUCCAGCCAUGCCGCGUGAGUGAAGAAGGCCCUCGGGUUGUAAAGCUCUUUUGUCCGGAAAGAAAGCAUUCGGUUAAUACCCGGGUGUUCUGACGGUACCGGAAGAAUAAGCACCGGCUAACUUCGUGCCAGCAGCCGCGGU
Molecule: ribosomal RNA, 503 nt
Filed under: uncultured bacterium
Lineage: Bacteria
Description: bacterial SSU rRNA
Rfam family: Bacterial small subunit ribosomal RNA
Source: RNAcentral